GACAGAGGCCUCGAGCGUUAGGCGGAAUCACUGGGCUUAAAGCGUGUGUAGGCGGGCCCGUAAGUGUCUUGUGAAAUCCCACGGCUCAACCGUGGAACUGCUGGGCAUACUGCGGGUCUUGGGCCAACUAGGGGCAGCCGGAACAAGCGGUGGAGCGGUGAAAUGCGUAGAUAUCGCUUGGAACGCCAAAGGUGAAAACAGGUUGCUGGGUUGUGCCGACGCUGAGACACGAAAGCCAGGGGAGCAAACGGG
This 252-nucleotide ribosomal RNA is filed under the name uncultured bacterium. RNAcentral describes it as "partial 16S ribosomal RNA". It matches the Rfam family "Bacterial small subunit ribosomal RNA", at positions 524 to 776 of the family's 1533-position model. The record is from RNAcentral.